RNAcentral lists this long non-coding RNA (252 nucleotides) under Elaeis guineensis (African oil palm). RNAcentral describes it as "long non-coding RNA (EGUI_LNC030083)". Lineage: Eukaryota; Viridiplantae; Streptophyta; Magnoliopsida; Arecales; Arecaceae. The record is from RNAcentral.
AUCUUGGGGGCCAUGAUGCAAAAAGAUGAUGAAAAGUGGUCUAGAGAGUGGAGAAGGAUUGGAUUGAACCGAAAUCAAAAAGGAGAAAAGGAUUUUUAAGUGAUUUCCCACAGAUUUGAUGGCUAGGGCUUGAAGAUUUGGAGAAAACUGAAAAUGACUCGUGAGAAAGAUGGAUUUGGGAAGAAUGAGUUUUGGUUUGGAGGGAUUUUGAGGUUUCUGGGAGAGCAAGGAUGUGGAUUCUUGAUUGGGAUG